RNAcentral lists this ribosomal RNA (418 nucleotides) under uncultured bacterium. RNAcentral describes it as "bacterial SSU rRNA". It matches the Rfam family "Bacterial small subunit ribosomal RNA", at positions 355 to 766 of the family's 1533-position model. The record is from RNAcentral.
UCGAGAAUUUUUCACAAUGGGCGCAAGCCUGAUGGAGCGACGCCGCGUGGGGGAUGAAGGGCUUCGAUCCGUAAACCCCUGUCAUUUGCGAACAAACCUUGAUUGUGAAUAGCGAUCGAGCUGAUUGUAGCGGAAGAGGAAGGGACGGCUAACUCUGUGCCAGCAGCCGCGGUAAUACAGAGGUCCCAAGCGUUGUUCGGAUUCACUGGGCGUAAAGGGUGCGUAGGUGGUCGGUGAAGUUCGGUGUGAAAGCUCGGAGCUCAACUCCGAAACGGCAUUGAAAUCUCAUCGGCUGGAGGGUCGGAGGGGAGACUGGAAUUCUCGGUGUAGCAGUGAAAUGCGUAGAUAUCGAGAGGAACACCAGUGGCGAAGGCGAGUCUCUGGACGACUCCUGACACUGAGGCACGAAAGCCAGGGG